RNA transcript from Zingiber officinale, 2254 nucleotides. It is a transcript of the gene named zinc finger CCCH domain-containing protein 17-like, with no coding region annotated. The record is from RefSeq and is a predicted model, not a curated record. The transcript is spliced from 6 exons. NCBI's taxonomy places the organism in Eukaryota, Viridiplantae, Streptophyta, Magnoliopsida, Zingiberales, Zingiberaceae.
CACCGUAUGCAAAAUUUAAUUUUCUCAUCUUGAUUGCCUUCUCAUGGAUCUCUAGGGUUUUUCAGCGAAUCUCACUGCCCCGCCGCCUUGUUCAUCGUCUUCCAAGGGGCGCCGUCUGUGGCUUGAGGCGUUCCUCGCCGACUUUGAUCGCUCUUUGGGAUCAUCUUGUUUGUGGCAUCUUCCUAGAUCUCCGAUUGCAUCUGAGUUAUUUGUUUGGGUCGUUUGAUGGACUUCGAGCAACCAGAUCGGUACAGAAACAGGAGGGGCUACCAGCGGGCGGGGCCGUCUCAGGUUCCAGACAGAAGCAACAAGGUAUGCUUCCACUGGCAGGCGGGGCGAUGCAGCCGUCACCCGUGUCCCUUUCUCCAUAGCAACCCGCCGCAGACCGUGCUCGCCGAUGGCGCUGCCAAGCGGGGGCACUUGCAAGGCCACGUGCCUAGAAAUAUUGCCUCUGCGGGUGCGCCGCCCUCCAAGUGGGGUAAGGGUCGAGCGGGUGGCAAGGCUCCCGACAAAAUCUGCAAUUACUUCCUCGCUGGAAAUUGUAGUUUCGGAGAUAAGUGUAGGUUCCUGCAUUCGUGGUUCAUGAGCAAUAGCUUCUCUCUCUUGACCCAACUCCAGGGGCAUCAAAAGGUAGUGACUGGUAUCGCUUUGCCUUCAGGGUCUGAUAAACUCUACUCUUGUAGCAAGGAUGAGUCUGUUCGUGUUUGGGAUACUCAAACUGGGAAGUGUGUUAGAGCCAUCAAUAUGGGAGGUGAGGUUGGAUGUAUGACCAGUGAAGGUCCUUGGUUAUUUAUUGGAGUUAUGAAUGUUGUCAAGGCAUGGAACACACAAACAACAACAGAACAAGGCCUUGAUGGCCUUGUCGGACAAGUUUACGCUUUGACCGUUGGUAAUGGUAUGCUAUUUGCUGGAACACAGGAUGCACGAAUAUUGGUGUGGAAAUUUAGUGCUGCUGGGAAUGUCUUUGAAACUUAUAAACCCUUGCACACAGGGAUACUUAUAUUAUGCUUUCUGUUAUCCGUGACAGUAUAGUUUAAUUAAAAAUUGUACUCAUUGGAAUCUUUCAAAAGAUUUUGUGAGUAGAGUUACGUAAUUUUUCUCCAAGAAGCAAUCACUUCCCCUCCUGUAGUUACCUAGCAGUCAUUUUAAAUAAUCGUAUGAUUUUAGUCUAACUUUAAACUUAAUUGAAAUUGAAAUGCAUUAUCUGGGAUUUUAUUCUCACAUGAGAUAAUUGCAUAAAUUUGUGUAGUCUAAUUCAAUUGUGUUAGGCAUCUAACAUUGUUUCCAUAGUCAAGCUAACUAAUACACCAAUAUCCAGUUAUCUGUGUGCUAUUCAUAUCAUGGCCAGUUAAACCAUUAUUUAAAUCUAUGUUUUAGAUUGUUUUUCAUACUAGCAUGCUGUAUCACUCUUUGCUUAUUCCUUUGCUGUAGUAUCAACUUGAAAUAUGAGAAUAAUCUUUAAGCUCAAUCACAAUUCAAGAUUUAUUAGCAUUUUGAAGAAGAUGGUGUUUCAACAUUGCUCUAAAAGGAAAGUGAAAGUGAGGAUGAUGGUCUUGACAUGGGUGAUGAUGAUGAUGUUGAGGAACCUGAAAAUGAACCAGAGGUUGUUAUGAAAGAACCAACCAUUUAGAAACCUGCUCCUGUUUCAGCACCACCCAAAGAUGCUGAAAGGCAACUGUCAAAGAAGGAGCUUAAGAAAAAGGAAAUGGCAGAGCUGGAUGCACUUCUAUAUGAAAUGGGCAUUGCAAAUUUUAAUUAGUUUAUUUUUGAUAGAUAGUAAAUUUUAAUUCACUUGAGUUGCUUCAUACAUAUGAAGCGACUAUUUAAUGUGUGUUGAAUUUGUUUAUCCUUGUUAUGCAGACAAGAAGCAAUUGGAGCAAAGUAGUGAAGGGGAGAAGAAAGAAAGUGCUGGUGCUCCUUCAGAGAAUAGAAUCUUAAAGAAGAAGAAAUCCAAGAAAGAAAAAUCAUCAAAGGAACAGGAGGAGCAUGAUCAGAAUCAGGAGAAAGGAGACAUUGAAGCUGAAGUGGCAGAUGCAUCUGCAGUUGACGUAAAGGAAAGGAUAAAGAAGGUGGCCUCCAUGAGGUAGAAGAAAUCAAGCAAAGAGAUGGAUGCCGAACAGUUGAAUAAAAGGGCUUCUUACUUAAGUAGUAGGCUAAUUGGUACCUCAACUAGUCAAUUAGUGGAUACGGACUUGAUGUGUAUAAUAUUUAUAUGGAUACGAACUUGAUGUGUAUAAUAUUUAUGUGUUGGUUA